AGCAGCCGCGGUAAUUCCAGCUCCAAUAGCGUAUAUUAAAGUUGUUGCAGUUAAAAAGCUCGUAGUUGAAUUUCGGGAUCAAUUCGUCGGUCGUGCUUUUGGCACGUACUGGUGUUUAUUGGUUUCUCCCUUCUGACGAACCAUGAUGUCAUUAAUUUGGUGUUAUGGGGAGUUAGGACUGUUACUUUGAAAAAUUAGAGUGUUUAAAGCAGGCAUUAGCUUGAAUACAUUAGCAUGGAAUAAUGAAAUAGGACGUUCGAUCCUAUUUUGUUGGUUCUAGGAUCAACGUAAUGAUUAAUAGGGAUAGUUGGGGCAUUAGUAUUCAAUUGUCAGAGGUGAAAUUCUUGGAUUUAUUGAAGACUAACUGCUGCGAAAGCAUUUGCCAAGGAUGUUUCAUUAAUC
RNAcentral lists this ribosomal RNA (402 nucleotides) under uncultured Glomus. Its description in RNAcentral is "SSU rRNA". It matches the Rfam family "Eukaryotic small subunit ribosomal RNA", at positions 569 to 978 of the family's 1831-position model. The record is from RNAcentral. Lineage: Eukaryota; Fungi; Glomeromycota; Glomeromycetes; Glomerales; Glomeraceae.